GACGAACGCUGGCGGCGUGCUUAACACAUGCAAGUCGAACGGUAGGGCUCCAGCUUGCUGGGGUACACGAGUGGCGAACGGGUGAGUAACACGUGGGUGACCUGCCCUGCACUUCGGGAUAAGCCUGGGAAACUGGGUCUAAUACCGGAUAGGACCAUGGUGUGGAUACUGUGGUGGAAAGUUUUUUCGGUGUGGGAUGGGCCCGCGGCCUAUCAGCUUGUUGGUGGGGUAAUGGCCUACCAAGGCGGCGACGGGUAGCCGGCCUGAGAGGGUGGACGGCCACAUUGGGACUGAGACACGGCCCAGACUCCUACGGGAGGCAGCAGUGGGGAAUAUUGCACAAUGGGCGGAAGCCUGAUGCAGCGACGCCGCGUGGGGGAUGACGGCCUUCGGGUCGUAAACUCCUUUCACCAUCGACGAAGGGUUUCUGACGGUAGAUGGAGAAGAAGCACCGGCUAACUACGUG
Molecule: ribosomal RNA, 466 nt
Filed under: uncultured bacterium
Lineage: Bacteria
Description: partial 16S ribosomal RNA
Rfam family: Bacterial small subunit ribosomal RNA
Source: RNAcentral